GCCACAGUGUGGUAUAAUGGUUUGAAUCCUGGACCAGGAUUCCAGAAGACCAGCGUUCAAAUCCCUGUUUGGCC
Non-coding RNA from Phrynosoma platyrhinos (Desert horned lizard), 74 nucleotides. The record is from the annotation of a GenBank genome assembly. Lineage: Eukaryota; Metazoa; Chordata; Lepidosauria; Squamata; Phrynosomatidae.